UGGGGAAUAUUGCACAAUGGGGGAAACCCUGAUGCAGCGACGCCGCGUGAAGGAAGAAGUAUCUCGGUAUGUAAACUUCUUUUGUCAAGGACGAAGAAAGUGACGGUACUUGACGAAUAAGCCACGGCUAACUACGUGCCAGCAGCCGCGGUAAUACGUAGGUGGCAAGCGUUGUCCGGAUUUACUGGGUGUAAAGGGCGCGUAGACGGAACAGCAAGUCUGAUGUGAAAGGCAUGGGCUCAACCUGUGGACUGCAUUGGAAACUGUUGGUCUUGAGUACCGGAGGGGUAAGCGGAAUUCCUAGUGUAGCGGUGAAAUGCGUAGAUAUUAGGAGGAACACCAGUGGCGAAGGCGGCUUACUGGACGGUAACUGACGUUGAGGCUCGAAAGCGUGGGGAGCAAACAGGAUUAGAUACC
RNAcentral lists this ribosomal RNA (417 nucleotides) under uncultured bacterium. RNAcentral describes it as "bacterial SSU rRNA". It matches the Rfam family "Bacterial small subunit ribosomal RNA", at positions 355 to 786 of the family's 1533-position model. The record is from RNAcentral.